Molecule: ribosomal RNA, 497 nt
Filed under: uncultured bacterium
Lineage: Bacteria
Description: partial 16S ribosomal RNA
Rfam family: Bacterial small subunit ribosomal RNA
Source: RNAcentral
GAUGAACGCUGGCGGCGUGCCUAAUACAUGCAAGUCGAGCGAACGGACGAGAAGCUUGCUUCUCUGAUGUUAGCGGCGGACGGGUGAGUAACACGUGGAUAACCUACCUAUAAGACUGGGAUAACUUCGGGAAACCGGAGCUAAUACCGGAUAAUAUUUUGAACCGCAUGGUUCAAAAGUGAAAGACGGUCUUGCUGUCACUUAUAGAUGGAUCCGCGCUGCAUUAGCUAGUUGGUAAGGUAACGGCUUACCAAGGCAACGAUGCAUAGCCGACCUGAGAGGGUGAUCGGCCACACUGGAACUGAGACACGGUCCAGACUCCUACGGGAGGCAGCAGUAGGGAAUCUUCCGCGAUGGGCGAAAGCCUGACGGAGCAACGCCGCGUGAGUGAUGAAGGUUUUCGGAUCGUAAAACUCUGUUAUUAGGGAAGAACAUAUGUGUAAGUAACUGUGCACAUCUUGACGGUACCUAAUCAGAAAGCCACGGCUAACUACGUG